RNAcentral lists this ribosomal RNA (491 nucleotides) under uncultured bacterium. RNAcentral's name for it is "partial 16S ribosomal RNA". It matches the Rfam family "Bacterial small subunit ribosomal RNA", at positions 28 to 507 of the family's 1533-position model. The record is from RNAcentral.
GAUGAACGCUGGCUACAGGCUUAACACAUGCAAGUCGAGGGGAAACGCCGGGGAAGCUUGCUUCCCCGGGCGUCGACCGGCGCACGGGUGAGUAACGCGUAUCCAACCUGCCUCUGACUGAGGGAUAACCCGUCGAAAGUCGGCCUAAUACCUCAUGGCAUCGUCUGCGGGCAUCCAACGACGAUUAAAGAUUUCAUCGGUCAGAGAUGGGGAUGCGUCUGAUUAGCUUGUUGGCGGGGUAACGGCCCACCUAGGCGACGAUCAGUAGGGGUUCUGAGAGGAAGGUCCCCCACAUUGGAACUGAGACACGGUCCAAACUCCUACGGGAGGCAGCAGUGAGGAAUAUUGGUCAAUGGGCGAGAGCCUGAACCAGCCAAGUAGCGUGCAGGAUGACGGCCCUAUGGGUUGUAAACUGCUUUUAGGCGGGGAUAAAGUGAGGGACGUGUCCUUCAUUGCAGGUACCGCAUGAAUAAGGACCGGCUAAUUCCGUG